Molecule: ribosomal RNA, 467 nt
Filed under: uncultured bacterium
Lineage: Bacteria
Description: bacterial SSU rRNA
Rfam family: Bacterial small subunit ribosomal RNA
Source: RNAcentral
CCAGACUCCUACGGGAGGCAGCAGUGAGGAAUAUUGGUCAAUGGGCGGGAGCCUGAACCAGCCAAGUCGCGUGAGGGAAGACGGUCCUAUGGAUUGUAAACCUCUUUUGUCGGGGAGCAAAGAGGCCACGUGUGGUCAAAAGCGAGAGUACCCGAAGAAAAAGCAUCGGCUAACUCCGUGCCAGCAGCCGCGGUAAUACGGAGGAUGCGAGCGUUAUCCGGAUUUAUUGGGUUUAAAGGGUGCGUAGGCGGGACGGUAAGUCAGCGGUAAAAAGGCGGAGCUCAACUCCGUCGAGCCGUUGAAACUGCCGUCCUUGAGUGAGCGAGAAGUAUGCGGAAUGCGUGGUGUAGCGGUGAAAUGCAUAGAUAUCACGCAGAACUCCGAUUGCGAAGGCAGCAUACCGGCGCUCAACUGACGCUGAAGCACGAAGGCGUGGGUAUCGAACAGGAUUAGAUACCCCUGUAGAU